CAGCCGCCGCGGGAAUACGUAGGGUGCAAGCGUUAAUCGGAAUUACUGGGCGUAAAGCGUGCGCAGGCGGUUAUAUAAGUCAGAUGUGAAAUCCCCGGGCUCAACCUGGGAACUGCAUUUGAGACUGUAUGGCUAGAGUGUGUCAGAGGGGGGUAGAAUUCCACGUGUAGCAGUGAAAUGCGUAGAUAUGUGGAGGAAUACCGAUGGCGAAGGCAGCCCCCUGGGAUAACACUGACGCUCAUGCACGAAAGCGUGGGGAGCAAACAGGAUUAGAUACCCGUGUAGUCCCUGUCUCUUAUAC
This 301-nucleotide ribosomal RNA is filed under the name uncultured bacterium. RNAcentral's name for it is "partial 16S ribosomal RNA". It matches the Rfam family "Bacterial small subunit ribosomal RNA", at positions 509 to 807 of the family's 1533-position model. The record is from RNAcentral.